AAACCAACAGGGAUUGCCCUAGUAACGGCGAGUGAAGCGGCAACAGCUCAAAUUUGAAAUCUGGCCUCGGCCCGAGUUGUAAUUUGCAGAGGAUGCUUCUGGCGCGGUGCCUUCCGAGUUCCCUGGAACGGGACGCCACAGAGGGUGAGAGCCCCGUAUGGUCGGACACCAAGCCUGUGUGAAGCUCCUUCGACGAGUCGAGUAGUUUGGGAAUGCUGCUCUAAAUGGGAGGUAAAUCUCUUCUAAAGCUAAAUACCGGCCAGAGACCGAUAGCGCACAAGUAGAGUGAUCGAAAGAUGAAAAGUACCUUGAAAAGGGGGUUAAAUAGUACGUGAAAUUGUUGAAAGGGAAGCACUUAUGACCAGACUUGGGCCGGGCGGCUCAUCAGGGGUUCUCCCCUGUGCACUCCGCCCGGCACAGGCCAGCAUCGGUUCUCGUGGGGGGAUAAGACCGUCAGGAACGUAGCACCCUCCGGGGUGUGUUAUAGCCUGGCGGACGAUACCCCCGUGGGGACCGAGGUCCGCGCUCCGCAAGGAUGCUGGCGUAAUGGUCAUCAGUGACCCGUCUUGAAACACGGACCAAGGAGUCGUCCAUUAGAGCGAGCGUUUGGGUGUAAAACCCGCACGCGUAAUGAAAGUGAACGCAGGUGAGAGCUUCGGCGCAUCAUCGACCGAUCCUGAUGUUCUCGGAAGGAUUUGAGUAAGAGUUUUAACGGACGGACCCGAAAGACAGUGAACUAUGCUUGUAUAGGGUGAAGCCAGAGGAAACUCUGGUGGAGGCUCGCAGCGGUUCUGACGUGCAAAUCGAUCGUCAAAUAUGAGCAUGGGGGCGAAAGACUAAUCGAACUGUCUAGUAGCUGGUUACC
This 865-nucleotide ribosomal RNA is filed under the name Diaporthe vacuae. RNAcentral's name for it is "partial large subunit ribosomal RNA". It matches the Rfam family "Eukaryotic large subunit ribosomal RNA", at positions 62 to 959 of the family's 3401-position model. Lineage: Eukaryota; Fungi; Ascomycota; Sordariomycetes; Diaporthales; Diaporthaceae. The record is from RNAcentral.